GGUCCGGUAGUUCAGUUGGUUAGAAUGCCGCCCUGUCACGGCGGAGGUCGCGGGUUCGAGUCCCGUCCGGACCGCUA
This 77-nucleotide transfer RNA is filed under the name Rufibacter immobilis. RNAcentral describes it as "tRNA-Asp". It matches the Rfam family "tRNA". From Rfam's summary of the family: Transfer RNA (tRNA) molecules are approximately 80 nucleotides in length. Their secondary structure includes four short double-helical elements and three loops (D, anti-codon, and T loops). RNAcentral also lists the same sequence under 1 other name. The record is from RNAcentral. Lineage: Bacteria; Pseudomonadati; Bacteroidota; Cytophagia; Cytophagales; Hymenobacteraceae.